AGUGAACGCUGGCGGCGUGGAUUAGGCAUGCAAGUCGAACGGCAGCACGGGAGCUUGCUCCUGGUGGCGAGUGGCGGACGGGUGAGUAACACGUAGGAAUCUGCCUGGUAAUGGGGGGAUAACCCGGGGAAACUCGGGCUAAUACCGCAUACGCUCCACGGAGGAAAGCGGGGGAUCUUCGGACCUCGCGUUAUCAGAUGAGCCUGCGUCCGAUUAGCUGGUUGGUGGGGUAAAGGCCCACCAAGGCGACGAUCGGUAGCUGGUCUGAGAGGACGAUCAGCCACACUGGAACUGAGACACGGUCCAGACUCCUACGGGAGGCUG
This 324-nucleotide ribosomal RNA is filed under the name uncultured Pseudomonadota bacterium. Its description in RNAcentral is "bacterial SSU rRNA". It matches the Rfam family "Bacterial small subunit ribosomal RNA", at positions 28 to 351 of the family's 1533-position model. The record is from RNAcentral. Lineage: Bacteria; Pseudomonadati; Pseudomonadota.